UACGUAGGGGUCGAGCGUUGUCCGGAGUUACUGGGCGUAAAGCGUGCGCAGGCGGCUCGUCGCGCUCGGCGUGAAAGCCCCCGGCUCAACCGGGGAGGGUCGUCGAGGACGGAUGGGCUUGAGGGUAUCAGGGGUUGGUGGAAUUCCCGGUGUAGUGGUGAAAUUCGUAGAUAUUAGGAAGAACACCAGUGGCGAAGGCGGCUCACUGGCCCGGUACUGACGCUGAGGCGCGAAAGCGUGGGGAGCAAACAGG
Molecule: ribosomal RNA, 253 nt
Filed under: uncultured bacterium
Lineage: Bacteria
Description: partial 16S ribosomal RNA
Rfam family: Bacterial small subunit ribosomal RNA
Source: RNAcentral